Molecule: ribosomal RNA, 396 nt
Filed under: uncultured bacterium
Lineage: Bacteria
Description: bacterial SSU rRNA
Rfam family: Bacterial small subunit ribosomal RNA
Source: RNAcentral
UAAUACGUAGGGUGCGAGCGUUAAUCGGAAUUACUGGGCGUAAAGCGUGCGCAGGCGGUUUUGUAAGCCAGACGUGAAAUCCCCGGGCUUAACCUGGGAAUGGCGUUUGGGACUGCAAGGCUUGAGUAUGGCAGAGGGGACUAGAAUUCCUGGUGUAGCAGUGAAAUGCGUAGAUAUCAGGAGGAAUACCGAUGGCGAAGGCAGGUCCCUGGGUUAAUACUGACGCUCAUGCACGAAAGCGUGGGGAGCAAACAGGAUUAGAUACCCUGGUAGUCCACGCCCUAAACUAUGUCAACUGGUUGUUGGGGGUUUGACACUCUCAGUAACGAAGCUAACGCGUGAAGUUGACCGCCUGGGGAGUACGGCCGCAAGGUUAAAACUUAAAGGAAUUGACGG